This 1066-nucleotide ribosomal RNA is filed under the name Alcaligenes faecalis. RNAcentral's name for it is "bacterial SSU rRNA". It matches the Rfam family "Bacterial small subunit ribosomal RNA", at positions 462 to 1533 of the family's 1533-position model. Lineage: Bacteria; Pseudomonadati; Pseudomonadota; Betaproteobacteria; Burkholderiales; Alcaligenaceae. The record is from RNAcentral.
GAUACUGCUGACGGUAUCUGCAGAAUAAGCACCGGCUAACUACGUGCCAGCAGCCGCGGUAAUACGUAGGGUGCAAGCGUUAAUCGGAAUUACUGGGCGUAAAGCGUGUGUAGGCGGUUCGGAAAGAAAGAUGUGAAAUCCCAGGGCUCAACCUUGGAACUGCAUUUUUAACUGCCGAGCUAGAGUAUGUCAGAGGGGGGUAGAAUUCCACGUGUAGCAGUGAAAUGCGUAGAUAUGUGGAGGAAUACCGAUGGCGAAGGCAGCCCCCUGGGAUAAUACUGACGCUCAGACACGAAAGCGUGGGGAGCAAACAGGAUUAGAUACCCUGGUAGUCCACGCCCUAAACGAUGUCAACUAGCUGUUGGGGCCGUUAGGCCUUAGUAGCGCAGCUAACGCGUGAAGUUGACCGCCUGGGGAGUACGGUCGCAAGAUUAAAACUCAAAGGAAUUGACGGGGACCCGCACAAGCGGUGGAUGAUGUGGAUUAAUUCGAUGCAACGCGAAAAACCUUACCUACCCUUGACAUGUCUGGAAAGCCGAAGAGAUUUGGCCGUGCUCGCAAGAGAACCGGAACACAGGUGCUGCAUGGCUGUCGUCAGCUCGUGUCGUGAGAUGUUGGGUUAAGUCCCGCAACGAGCGCAACCCUUGUCAUUAGUUGCUACGCAAGAGCACUCUAAUGAGACUGCCGGUGACAAACCGGAGGAAGGUGGGGAUGACGUCAAGUCCUCAUGGCCCUUAUGGGUAGGGCUUCACACGUCAUACAAUGGUCGGGACAGAGGGUCGCCAACCCGCGAGGGGGAGCCAAUCUCAGAAACCCGAUCGUAGUCCGGAUCGCAGUCUGCAACUCGACUGCGUGAAGUCGGAAUCGCUAGUAAUCGCGGAUCAGAAUGUCGCGGUGAAUACGUUCCCGGGUCUUGUACACACCGCCCGUCACACCAUGGGAGUGGGUUUCACCAGAAGUAGGUAGCCUAACCGUAAGGAGGGCGCUUACCACGGUGGGAUUCAUGACUGGGGUGAAGUCGUAACAAGGUAGCCGUAUCGGAAGGUGCGGCUGGAUCACCUCCUUU